UCCCUCUCUUCUAUACCCAAAUAUACCCCAACCAUUUUCCCCUAAGCUACAAGGAGGAAAAAUUUCUCAGAAAAAAAAAAAAACUCAAAAUGAAAAAAAAGUUAUCAAUUGUUAGGUUAAAGUCCUCUUAUAUGAGGACUCCAACAUUGUAACCCCCACCCAAAACCUAAUACACAUUCUGAAAAAUACAGCAAGAAAUUAAAAUUGCAAUGUCAUGCAUCUAUAUAUAUACAUACAAAAUAAGAUUUAAAACUAAUUAACUCACUGGAUCUAGAAAACAACUUCUUCUUCAACUCUGAAAGAUGUACUCUUCAUGAUAAAGCUAACUUGCUAUUGUGAUGGGAUGAAUAGGAUCCGAGGUUCCUCUCAGCGAAAAAUAAGAGACUUUUUCAACCUUAAUUCGACUGUAAAAAUUUAGUAGGGCUGAAAAUUUACUUGCAGCUAAUAUGAUCACUCCGAUCCAACUCCUCCCAUCAAUAUGCAUGAAGUCAUGUUGUUUCUUGUUCUUUUUUUUUCUUC
Molecule: long non-coding RNA, 519 nt
Filed under: Solanum tuberosum (potato)
Lineage: Eukaryota; Viridiplantae; Streptophyta; Magnoliopsida; Solanales; Solanaceae
Description: long non-coding RNA (STUB_LNC009614)
Source: RNAcentral